GCGGCAGUGGCGGAACUGGCAGACGCGCUAGAUUCAGGAUCUAGUGGGUCUACGCCCGUGGGGGUUCAAAUCCCCCCUGCCGCACCA
RNAcentral lists this transfer RNA (87 nucleotides) under Thermanaeromonas sp. RNAcentral describes it as "tRNA-Leu". It matches the Rfam family "tRNA". Rfam says of the family: Transfer RNA (tRNA) molecules are approximately 80 nucleotides in length. Their secondary structure includes four short double-helical elements and three loops (D, anti-codon, and T loops). Lineage: Bacteria; Bacillati; Bacillota; Clostridia; Neomoorellales; Neomoorellaceae. The record is from RNAcentral.